Molecule: ribosomal RNA, 274 nt
Filed under: uncultured bacterium
Lineage: Bacteria
Description: partial 16S ribosomal RNA
Rfam family: Bacterial small subunit ribosomal RNA
Source: RNAcentral
CUACGGAGGGUGCGAGCGUUAAUCGGAAUUACUGGGCGUAAAGCGUACGUAGGCGGUUGGUUAAGUUAGAUGUGAAAGCCCCGGGCUUAACCUGGGAACUGCAUUUAAAACUGGCGAACUAGAGUUGAUUAGAGGGGAGUGGAAUUUCAGGUGUAGCGGUGAAAUGCGUAGAGAUCUGAAGGAACACCAGUGGCGAAGGCGACUCCCUGGACUCGAACUGACGCUGAGGUACGAAAGCGUGGGUAGCAAACGGAAUUAGAUACCCCAGUAGUCC